Loxodonta africana (African savanna elephant) is the source of this 498-nucleotide long non-coding RNA. RefSeq lists it as uncharacterized. The transcript has 3 exons. Lineage: Eukaryota; Metazoa; Chordata; Mammalia; Proboscidea; Elephantidae. The record is from RefSeq and is a predicted model, not a curated record.
GCAUGGGGGCAUGGGGGCAGGGUCUCCACAUGGGAGCGGGUAUGCCUGCAGCACCCCAUGCUGGUCCUUGACUUUUAUUUCAUUUUCUCAAAUUCUCCAGGUGGAAUUCUGAAAUGGGGAGCCACUGGUGUGAAUGUGUCAAAUCAACUAGAUUCAAGGAAGGAUAGCGGAGGAAAGUAAUAGCUUUACUGAGAUGUAAUUCGGGUACUACACAGUUCAUCCAUCCAAAGUGCCCAGUUCAACGGCUUUCAGUAUAUUCCCAGAGGUGUGUUCAGACUAGAUUCAUCUUGAAAUACCUAGAAGAAAACAGAUCUUCCCCCUAAACUCUCGCGAUACAAUACUUCAUCUUUCAAGGGAAAACACAGAUAUUUCUUGCAGGUAAAUACUAGCACUUUCAUAGUACUAUACAGGUUUCUUCAGCUAAUCCCUGGCAUUGAUGUAGGGCUAGGGAACCAACACUUUCUUCCCCCACGUAUCUCUCUGGACUCUGUGUUUACC